Molecule: unclassified non-coding RNA, 2398 nt
Filed under: Hevea brasiliensis (rubber tree)
Lineage: Eukaryota; Viridiplantae; Streptophyta; Magnoliopsida; Malpighiales; Euphorbiaceae
Source: RNAcentral
UCUAAACAUCGCAGUACUUGGCUAACAAAAGGAAGAAGAAAAAUCCUUCUUUUUCUGAACCCUAAUGACCAAUUCACCACUCUUCUCAUGAAACCAUCUUCAACUUUACCUACACAUGUAUUAACCCGCCAUGAAUUUGGGUUUUCUCAUCCAAUUCGAUCUGUAAGUUUUCAUUCUUCUUAAAUUUAAAUUCUAGUAAUUCAAACUUCCCUAUUCUUGCUGGAAUUGAGUUCCUCUUUGCUUCUUUCUCAGAAAAUUUUACAAGGGAAAAUGAAAACUAAUAACCAGAAAAUAAUGCAGAAUUUGAAUUGAUUCUCUUUUUCUCAGCGGCAAAUAAAAUUGUGUACUUUAGUUUGUUUAUGUGCUCAAUUUGUCAUUUGGGUGAUGCUUAGAAAUGCUAAAUUUCAUGCUUCAGUUAUUGAUUAGGUCAUCAGAGCUAUUACUACUAAGCUUAGUUCUGAUAAGCUUUUAAAGAUAACAAAACCCAUUAAAGGUGCCUUUGCGAAUUUAAAAAAAGAACAUUGAAUCCAAUUUUCUCAAAGGAAAUGCAUCCUAAUUAUUUCAUUGUGUUAGAAGAAGUUUUAUUUUGGGAGUAUCUUUACUCUAUUGUAAGUAAUUCUCUUACUUAUUCUUUAGCUUUUGACCAGAUAUUGUGAGUACUGCUUAUAAUGAUGUCCAGAACUAUGCUACUCGUCUUUCUGUCACUUGUACUCAUAAUCACCUCUCAGUUUGAGUGGAGACAACAACUUGUAAGUGACAUUGAUUCCAGUAAUGCUGUCACCCAGAAACAGCAACAGAUAUCAAAGAGGGAAGAAACUGUAAAGGAGAAGGUAAAAAAGUAUAUUAUUUUCCAAGUUUUGUACAUCCCUUUGCUGAUUGAUUUUUAUAUUAAGUUGGUUAUGUUUGAUGCUUUCAAUUAAAUUAAGUCACUCAGGUUGUUUACAUUAAGUCACAAUUGUUUCAGAAUGUUGAUUAUGAUUAAGUUGUUUAUUUAUUCUUUGCAAAAGUAUCAGCACAAUGAUAUGGGCUAAUCAUUACAUAAAUUUCUGUUAUCAGAGCAAAGAGAACAUAUGUAAAUCAUUCCAACUUUUAGCAAGUGCUACAAAUAUUUAGAGGCCUUUCCUCUUUCUCAAUAACAAUCAGAUUCAGAUGUAUAAACAGAAACCAUGAUUAGAAUUGGAGGAAGUAAAUCAAUUUCUAUGCAUCUUAGUCCAAAGUUGAUCAACUGUAGCACAGGGAACUCUCUCUCUCUCUGUCUUUCUGUUUUGAUGGCUUGAAACGUUAAUACUUUGAAGAAUCUAACCUGGAAUUGCAUGCUUAGUUCACAGAUAUCAUGGUUCAACCCACUUUAGCAGUAUUAUCAUUUUCUUGUCACAACUCGUACAGCACUUUGGCAUAAGUAAUGUUGUUUUUGGUUUCUCAACUUGAAAUUCAUAAUUUAUGUGUUUAUACUGUGUUUAACAGCAGCACUGUCAUAUGUAGUUAAGGACUGCCUGAAUUUUACAGAGAAGAAAAACCUAAAAUUUGCUCAUCUGUAGAAGAAUAUAUAUGAGUUUUGAAGUGAAUGACAAGUGCCUUUAUAGCUGGAGCACCUUCUGAACAAAACAGAAAUUCUCAAUAGAGAAUUACACUAAGAGAUUGAGAAUAAAAUCUCAGUAACUUCCAUUGUAUAUUCUGGAAAAGUAAGUGUCUAUUUACAUAUAGCUGUAUACUAUUUAUACAGAAACAGAAACCUGUUCUACAUGAAAAACGAUCUAUGCCAGCUAGCAAAUUCUAUCAGAGAAUUCCCACCAAAGCAUAACCAACUUCUGUUCAAUACAUUGAUCAGCCUCUCCCUUCAAUCUCACGCUUCUUUCUUUUCCCUGCUCUGUGUAUUUAAAACGCUCUGUUUCAUUAAUCAACAGAGCACACCGGUUCACUGUAGCUCACGGACAAUAGAAGCCAUGCUUCUAUAUUCAGAAUUUUAGCACCUUCACCUUCAAAAUUUUAGUCUAGUGUUUUUCUUGGUUAAUGGUGAUUGCUCAACUCCUUUGAAAUCCACACCUGAAGUUAAUCUUUUAUUUGCAGGGGCAUUCAUAUGCUAAUGCAAAAUUCUGCCUGUUUGUCCUCCCUUUGCAUAUGUGUGUGGCCAUUAACUUUAAAUAAUUGGCAGUGCCAUUGCAAGAGUUUACCAUUUUUUUUAAGGCCUAAUGGUCAAUUUUGGCCAAAACUUUACGCGAAUUCUCAAUUUUGGCCAAAACUUUUUUUAGUCAAUUUUGGCCUAUUUUGGCAAAUUAGACUCAAUCGUAGCUAGGAGAGAGAAUGGGGUCUAGUAAAUUGAAUGGCUGUGUUUUGGGUCAAAACGGAGACCUUUUUUUUUUUCAUGAUGUUAACCAUGGUAUACCCAUGGUUGACUAAU